GCGGGUAUGGCGAAAUUGGCAGACGCACCAGAUUUAGGUUCUGGCGGGGAGACCCGUGGGGGUUCAAGUCCCUCUACCCGCACCA
This 85-nucleotide transfer RNA is filed under the name Micavibrio aeruginosavorus. RNAcentral describes it as "tRNA-Leu". It matches the Rfam family "tRNA". From Rfam's summary of the family: Transfer RNA (tRNA) molecules are approximately 80 nucleotides in length. Their secondary structure includes four short double-helical elements and three loops (D, anti-codon, and T loops). Lineage: Bacteria; Pseudomonadati; Bdellovibrionota; Bdellovibrionia; Bdellovibrionales; Pseudobdellovibrionaceae. The record is from RNAcentral.